RNAcentral lists this long non-coding RNA (944 nucleotides) under Sinocyclocheilus grahami. RNAcentral describes it as "lncRNA (ENSSGRG00000029322.1)". Lineage: Eukaryota; Metazoa; Chordata; Actinopteri; Cypriniformes; Cyprinidae. The record is from RNAcentral.
CUGACGUGAAUAUGAUCAAUUUCCUCCUGUACGAAGUCUACUUAACUAACUAAUAGAAAUAUGCAUUUUAAACUAGUUUAGAAAACAAAACAAGCUUUUAUAUGUUUAAUAUGUCUUAGGUUCUGCAAAGUAAAGGCACUACGUCCCAUCUUUCGUCUAGGAAAUUCUCAAAAGAGCCUCUUCGCAGGGUUGAGUGUCUGCAGAUGAGAGUUGGACUAAAAUCAUGCAGAACUCAGUUCGAGUCAUUCAUAAAUGCCUUAGAGUCAUACAGAGAAAGAGAUCAAGUGCAAAAGUCUUAUCAAAUGGAAAAAAUCCAUUAGGUCCAUCCUGUUUCUUAAGAGAAAAGCGCAGACGUGUCAAAGGUCAGGUUCAGCUGAGAGCAGGGAGGAAGCGUUUUCUCAGGAAGCUGCGCUCCGGAGGCAGAUCCGAUGGGAAGUGUUCAGUAUCCUGAGCAGUUUGGCAGAUCUCGGCAAUGCCAUUCAUUGGAUGCCGCCUGGAUUUCUAUGGGCUGGACGGUUUCCUCCAUGGCUGGUGGGACUGAUGGGAACGACCUCCUCACUGAUAGGCCUUCUACCGAUCAGUCUGGUGAUCAAGGACUUGCAAAUUUGCAGAUUCCCUCUCAGACCUAUUGGUUACUGUUGAUAAAGCGCUAAUUGUUGGAGAUUUUAACAUUUACGUUGAUAAUACAAAUGAUGCAUUAGGACUUGCGUUUACUGACCUAAUAAACUCUUUUGGAGUCAAGCAAAAUGUCACCGGGCCCAUUCAUCGUUUUAAUCAUACGCUAGAUUUAAUUAUAUUGCAUGGAAUUGAUCUUACUGAUAUAGAUAUCGUACCUCAAAGCGAUGAUGUUACUGACCAUUUCCUUGUAUCGUGCAUGCUGCGUAUUACUGAUAUUAACUAUAUGGCUCCGCGUUAUCGUCUGGGCAGAACUUUUAAUUACAAAU